CCACACCCGCUCCUUGUUGCUGGCCUCUGCAUCCUCCUCCCUCGAAGCGGGUCUAUGCGGGGAGUUGAUCUAGAAUAUCCUAUUGUUAGAUAUAACAAAUAGGUGACAAGAAAUAAACAAGAACUAUGUAGUACAAUAUAUGUGUCACACAGUAUACUUUGAAAAUGUGUAAUUUGAGAUUCUGAUAUAGAUGUAGGCCUGUAACACACCUUGAACAUGCACUGAAAAUUGUUGUUUACAGUCUGAUUUCUAAACCUGAUGAAAACCCCUAUUUAAAAAAGGAUUUAAUAGAAUUUGUAGUGAUUCUUUUGUCAGAUUGAUAAUAUAUUGCAAAUUAUGCUUGAUGGUUAAUUUCUUGGCAUAAAAGGUGCUUAUUUGAAAUUUGGUUACUACUGAAAUUUUGUCAAGAUACUUGGACUUGUUCAUUGUUCAGUCAGGUUCCAAUCAAGAGUUAACCUGAGACAAUAGAAAGUACUGUCUGUGUAAUUAUUGAUGGUUCUGGAAUAAGGAUUAAACCAAAUCAACGAAACAAAUCCUCGAGGAUGCCUUUUUUGGUAGCUAGCCAGGUUAAACUUUUCAAUCCGUGCUCAGCCCUGUACUCAUAGGUCCAUUGUUUCAAUAUUUAUGAAGCACCACAUUUCCAAAUACAUUUAUUAAGCACCCUACCAAUGUCAAAUUUUCAGAUCCUGCGUACUUUUUUGUGGUACAUGCCUACAAAUUUUUGUACAGUCUAUAGAAAAACGGCGACUGUCCGGUCUAAUCAUAAACGUAGCCUAAUCAUCAAAAAUUAAGUACACAAAAAACUUCAUAAACAUAGUUGUCACAGUUUUUUAUUAACCUUGUUUUUACAAUCUUUCAGAUUAUUCAGAAAACGAGUUACACAAUUUUUUAUUUAGAGAAAGAGUUACCACCAUUUUUUUAGAAACAACUUUCAUGUUCUUCUUUAGAAACAUUUUUUACCACUAUUAUGAAAAUAUGUUCAUAUUAAAGAUUACAGCUGCAAAAAAUAUAACAGCUGUAUGAUGGUUAAUCAAAUCAAGGAUGGUCGAGAACUUGCAGAUGCUACGUUUUUUAUUUUGAAGUUAAGACUCAACUUGGAGCAUUGGAGCAUUUGAGAAAUCUCACCACCAAGUCGACAUCCAGCAAUGGCAUCUAGAGCACAAAGGUCUAAAAUUGAAAAGUACACAACCUGUCGAAAUGCUCUCACCAUCUCAUGAAAUUGAUGUGCUCGGUGAGGCAGAGGACGAUGGUGUAGUGCUGCCGAAGCUCGGUACUUCCUUCGCUGCAUUGUGCUUGCUCUUCUAGGUGUCAUCCAACGUUGCCCUUGCGCGCAUCCGCAUCAGUCUCCAA
This 1350-nucleotide long non-coding RNA is filed under the name Triticum aestivum (bread wheat). RNAcentral describes it as "long non-coding RNA (TAES_LNC023603)". Lineage: Eukaryota; Viridiplantae; Streptophyta; Magnoliopsida; Poales; Poaceae. The record is from RNAcentral.